UCAGGAUGAACGCUAUCUACAGGCUUAACACAUGCAAGUCGAGGGGCAGCAUCAUCAAAGCUUGCUUUGAUGGAUGGCGACCGGCGCACGGGUGAGUAACACGUAUCCAACCUGCCGACAACACUGGGAUAGCCUUUCGAAAGAAAGAUUAAUACCGGAUGGCAUAGUUUUCCCGCAUGGGAUAAUUAUUAAAGAAUUUCGGUUGUCGAUGGGGAUGCGUUCCAUUAGGCAGUUGGCGGGGUAACGGCCCACCAAACCGACGAUGGAUAGGGGUUCUGAGAGGAAGGUCCCCCACAUUGGAACUGAGACACGGUCCAAACUCCUACGGGAGGCAGCAGUGAGGAAUAUUGGUCAAUGGACGAGAGUCUGAACCAGCCAAGUAGCGUGAAGGAUGACUGCCCUAUGGGUUGUAAACUUCUUUUAUACGGGAAUAAAGUUAGCCACGUGUGGCUUUUUGUAUGUACCGUAUGAAUAAGGAUCGGCUAACUCCGUGCCAGCAGCCGCGGUAAUACGGAGGAUCCGAGCGUUAUCCGGAUUUAUUGGGUUUAAAGGGAGCGUAGGCGGGUUGUUAAGUCAGUUGUGAAAGUUUGCGGCUCAACCGUAAAAUUGCAGUUGAUACUGGCGACCUUGAGUGCAACAGAGGUAGGCGGAAUUCGUGGUGUAGCGGUGAAAUGCUUAGAUAUCACGAAGAACUCCGAUUGCGAAGGCAGCUUACUGGAUUGUAACUGACGCUGAUGCUCGAAAGUGUGGGUAUCAAACAGGAUUAGAUACCCUGGUAGUCCACACAGUAAACGAUGAAUACUCGCUGUUGGCGAUAUACAGUCAGCGGCCAAGCGAAAGCAUUAAGUAUUCCACCUGGGGAGUACGCCGGCAACGGUGAAACUCAAAGGAAUUGACGGGGGCCCGCACAAGCGGAGGAACAUGUGGUUUAAUUCGAUGAUACGCGAGGAACCUUACCCGGGCUUAAAUUGCAACUGACUGAACCGGAAACGGUUCUUUCUUCGGACAGUUGCGAAGGUGCUGCAUGGUUGUCGUCAGCUCGUGCCGUGAGGUGUCGGCUUAAGUGCCAUAACGAGCGCAACCCUUAUCGAUAGUUACUAGCAGGUCAUGCUGAGGACUCUAUUGAGACUGCCGUCGUAAGAUGUGAGGAAGGUGGGGAUGACGUCAAAUCAGCACGGCCCUUACGUCCGGGGCUACACACGUGUUACAAUGGGGGGUACAGAAGGCAGCUACACGGCGACGUGGUGCUAAUCCCGAAAGCCUCUCUCAGUUCGGAUUGGAGUCUGCAACCCGACUCCAUGAAGCUGGAUUCGCUAGUAAUCGCGCAUCAGCCACGGCGCGGUGAAUACGUUCCCGGGCCUUGUACACACCGCCCGUCAAGCCAUGAAAGCCGGGGGUACCUGAAGUACGUAACCGCAAGGAGCGUCCUAGGGUAAAACUGGUGAUUGGGGCUAAAUG
Molecule: ribosomal RNA, 1458 nt
Filed under: uncultured organism
Description: SSU rRNA
Rfam family: Bacterial small subunit ribosomal RNA
Source: RNAcentral